RNAcentral lists this ribosomal RNA (425 nucleotides) under uncultured bacterium. RNAcentral's name for it is "partial 16S ribosomal RNA". It matches the Rfam family "Bacterial small subunit ribosomal RNA", at positions 354 to 796 of the family's 1533-position model. The record is from RNAcentral.
GUGGGGAAUCUUGCGCAAUGGGCGAAAGCCUGACGCAGCCAUGCCGCGUGAAUGAUGAAGGUCUUAGGAUUGUAAAAUUCUUUCACCGGGGACGAUAAUGACGGUACCCGGAGAAGAAGCUCCGGCUAACUUCGUGCCAGCAGCCGCGGUAAUACGAAGGGGGCUAGCGUUGCUCGGAAUUACUGGGCGUAAAGGGCGCGUAGGCGGACAGCUUAGUCAGAGGUGAAAGCCCAGGGCUCAACCUUGGAAUUGCCUUUGAUACAGGCUGUCUUGAGUUUGGGAGAGGUGAGUGGAACUCCGAGUGUAGAGGUGAAAUUCGUAGAUAUUCGGAAGAACACCAGUGGCGAAGGCGACUCACUGGCCCAAUACUGACGCUGAGGCGCGAAAGCGUGGGGAGCAAACAGGAUUAGAAACCCCAGUAGUCC